GACGAACGCUGGCGGCGUGCUUAACACAUGCAAGUCGAACGGAAAGGCCCUGAUUUUGUGGGGUGAUCGAGUGGCGAACGGGUGAGUAACACGUGAGUAACCUGACCUUGACUUUGGGAUAACUUCAGGAAACUGGGGCUAAUACCGGAUAGGAGCUCCUGCUGCAUGGUGGGGGUUGGAAAGUUUCGGCGGUGGGGGAUGGACUCGCGGCUUAUCAGCUUGUUGGUGGGGUAGUGGCUUACCAAGGAUUUGACGGGUAGCGGGCCUGAGAGGGUGACCGGCCACAUUGGGACUGAGAUGCGGCCCAGACUCCUACGGGAGGCAGCAGGGGGGAAUAGUGCACAAUGGGCGGAAGCCUGGUGCAGCAAGGCCGCGUGCGGGAUGACGGCCUUCGGGUUGUAAACCGCUUUCGCCUGUGACGAAGCGUGAGUGACGGUAAUGGGUAGAGAAGCACCGGCUAACUACGGG
Molecule: ribosomal RNA, 468 nt
Filed under: uncultured bacterium
Lineage: Bacteria
Description: partial 16S ribosomal RNA
Rfam family: Bacterial small subunit ribosomal RNA
Source: RNAcentral